Molecule: ribosomal RNA, 496 nt
Filed under: uncultured bacterium
Lineage: Bacteria
Description: partial 16S ribosomal RNA
Rfam family: Bacterial small subunit ribosomal RNA
Source: RNAcentral
GAUGAACGCUGGCGGCGUGCCUAAUACAUGCAAGUCGAGCGAACGGACGAGAAGCUUGCUUUUCUGAUGUUAGCGGCGGACGGGUGAGUAACACGUGGAUAACCUACCUAUAAGACUGGGAUACUUCGGGAAACCGGAGCUAAUACCGGAUAAUAUUUUGAACCGCAUGGUUCAAAAGUGAAAGACGGUCUUGCUGUCACUUAUAGAUGGAUCCGCGCUGCAUUAGCUAGUUGGUAAGGUAACGGCUUACCAAGGCAACGAUGCAUAGCCGACCUGAGAGGGUGAUCGGCCACACUGGAACUGAGACACGGUCCAGACUCCUACGGGAGGCAGCAGUAGGGAAUCUUCCGCAAUGGGCGAAAGCCUGACGGAGCAACGCCGCGUGAGUGAUGAAGGUCUUCGGAUCGUAAAACUCUGUUAUUAGGGAAGAACAUAUGUGUAAGUAACUGUGCACAUCUUGACGGUACCUAAUCAGAAAGCCACGGCUAACUACGUG